UAAGUUCAGUUUAUGAGCUACCUAUCCGUGCUUGGUUUAAGAACUCCGACAUUAUCCGUAAGUAGAUCAGCCUUUCCGGUUCUACUAUUUAAUAUUUCAUGUUUUCUUAUCUAUUUAUUAUCCUAUCAAUUUGAGUCCUGAAUGCAUGUUUCUACGUAAUUUAAUUCAUAUGAUUAACUUUGCCCUUGCCUGUUCUCUAUUGUAUGCAAAGAUAUAAAUUCGGAAUUCUGCUUGUCAGUCAAAUAAAAUUAGGAUAUGGCUUGUUAUCUAUUGAGAUAUUUAGAUCCAGAAUGUGUUACCGCUGAAAUUUGCUUUUCUUCACCCCAUCAAAUGUGAAUUUCAUUGGCUUAUUGGUUUCUACUAAAGCAAAUUUUGAUUAUUUAUAAUGAAAUUUCUUCCACCCAUCAAAUGUGCGAAUUCAUUGGCCUAUUUGUUUCUGAUAAAAAACAAACUUUGGUUAUUUGUAAUGAAAUUUCUUAGAUCAGUCUCCUUCAAUUCCUUGGCACAUUUCUGAAUCUUUAGUCACAUAAUUAUUUUGAAAGUAUUGUAUGUAUACCUUUCAAAAUUUUUACUAAGAUUUAGGCUUCUGAAAUGUCUCUCAUUCAGUCGCCGUUGCAUGCUUGACUUGAGCCUUUCCGAGGCCCCACGAAAGGAGACCUCCUGGCCUUUGUUCGGACGAACAAAAAAAGCGAGAAAAGCAGAAAGAAAGCUACUCACUGCUUCAAUUUCCGUGUGUCUGCGGCUUUUCCUCGAACACCUAGGAACCCAGGGAGAUGGGUGAUCAUUGGAGCACAC
RNAcentral lists this long non-coding RNA (795 nucleotides) under Phoenix dactylifera (date palm). RNAcentral describes it as "long non-coding RNA (PDAC_LNC018164)". Lineage: Eukaryota; Viridiplantae; Streptophyta; Magnoliopsida; Arecales; Arecaceae. The record is from RNAcentral.